AUUGAACGCUGGCGGCAUGCCUUACACAUGCAAGUCGAACGGCAGCAUAGGAUCUUGCUCCUGAUGGCGAGUGGCGAACGGGUGAGUAAUAUAUCGGAACGUGCCCUAGCGUGGGGGAUAACUAGUCGAAAGACUAGCUAAUACCGCAUACGAUCUACGGAUGAACGUGGGGGAUCGCAAGACCUCAUGCUCCUGGAGCGGCCGAUAUCUGAUUACCUAGUUGGUGGGGUAAAAGCUCACCAAGGCGACGAUCAGUAGCUGGUCUGAGGGGACAACCAGCCAACCUGGGACGUAGAAAGUGCCCAGACUCCUACGGGAGGCAUCAGUGGGGAAUUUUGGACAAUGGGGGCAACCCUGAUCCAGCAAUGCCGCGUGAGUGAAGAAGGCCUUCGGGUUGUAAAGCUCUUUUGUCAGCGAAGAAACGGUUCUGGAUAAUACCUGGGACUAAUGACGGUACCUGAAGAAUAAGCACCGGCUAACUACGUGCCAGCCGCCGCCGUAA
RNAcentral lists this ribosomal RNA (502 nucleotides) under uncultured bacterium. RNAcentral's name for it is "partial 16S ribosomal RNA". It matches the Rfam family "Bacterial small subunit ribosomal RNA", at positions 30 to 523 of the family's 1533-position model. The record is from RNAcentral.